UCUGACAUGCAGCAUAAGUAGAGGCUGA
RNAcentral lists this non-coding RNA (28 nucleotides) under Mus musculus (house mouse). The record is from RNAcentral. Lineage: Eukaryota; Metazoa; Chordata; Mammalia; Rodentia; Muridae.